CCUCACCUGGCUAACAGAUGAGCCUAGGUCGGAUUAGCUAGUAGGUCGAGUGAGAGAGUGGGCUCACCUAGGCGACGAUCCGUAACUGGUCUGAGAGGAUGAUCAGUCACACUGGAACUGAGACACGGUCCAGACUCCUACGGGAGGCAGCAGUGGGGAAUAUUGGACAAUGGGCGAAAGCCUGAUCCAGCCAUGCCGCGUGUGUGAAGAAGGUCUUCGGAUUGUAAAGCACUUUAAGUUGGGAGGAAGGUCUGUAAGCUAAUACCUUGCAGUUUUGACGUUACCAACAGAAUAAGCACCGGCUAACUUCGUGCCAGCAGCCGCGGUAAUACGAAGGGUGCAAGCGUUAAUCGGAAUUACUGGGCGUAAAGUGUGUGUAGGUGGUUCAGCAAGUUGGAUGUGAAAGCCCCGGGCUCAACCUGGGAACUGCAUCCAAAACUACUGAGCUAGAGUACGGUAGAGGGUGGUGGAAUUUCCUGUGUAGCGGUGAAAUGCGUAGAUAUAGGAAGGAACACCAGUG
RNAcentral lists this ribosomal RNA (520 nucleotides) under uncultured Pseudomonas sp. RNAcentral's name for it is "bacterial SSU rRNA". It matches the Rfam family "Bacterial small subunit ribosomal RNA", at positions 208 to 714 of the family's 1533-position model. The record is from RNAcentral. Lineage: Bacteria; Pseudomonadati; Pseudomonadota; Gammaproteobacteria; Pseudomonadales; Pseudomonadaceae.